Molecule: transfer RNA, 67 nt
Filed under: Marmota monax (woodchuck)
Lineage: Eukaryota; Metazoa; Chordata; Mammalia; Rodentia; Sciuridae
Description: tRNA.Ala
Source: RNAcentral
GGUUGUGGCUCAGUGAUAGAGCAUUUGCCUAGCAUGUGUGAGGCACUGGGUUCAAUUCUCAGCACCA